GGCGAACGGGUGAGUAACGCGUGAGUAACCUGCCCUGGAGUGGGGGGACGAACAGUUGGAAACGACUGCUAAUACCGCAUAAGCCCACGGAUCUGCAUGGAUCUGCGGGAAAAGGAUUUAUUCGCUUCAGGAUGGACUCGCGUCCAAUUAGCUAGUUGGUGAGGUAACGGCCCACCAAGGCGACGAUUGGUAGCCGGACUGAGAGGUUGAACGGCCACAUUGGGACUGAGACACGGCCCAGACUCCUACGGGAGGCAGCAUG
Molecule: ribosomal RNA, 262 nt
Filed under: uncultured bacterium
Lineage: Bacteria
Description: partial 16S ribosomal RNA
Rfam family: Bacterial small subunit ribosomal RNA
Source: RNAcentral